CGGCGUGACCUAAUACAUGACAAGUCGAACGAGGUGUCUUUUGUAGCAAUACGAAAGUAUCCUAGUGGCGAACGGGUGAGUAACGCGUUGGUGACCUACCCCAAAGUGUGGGAUAACAGUUCGAAAGAACUGCUAAUACCGCAUGUGGUUAUCGGAUUUAGAAACUGAUAACUAAAGGAGCAAUUCGCUUUGGGAGGGACCUGCGUCCCAUCAGCUAGUUGGUGAGGUAAUGGCUCACCAAGGCUACGACGGGUAGGGGACCUGAGAGGGUGACCCCCCACAAUGGAACUGAAACACGGUCCAUACACCUACGGGUGGCAGCAGUAGGGAAUAUUGCACAAUGGGCGAAAGCCUGAUGCAGCAACGCCGCGUGUGCGAUGAAGGCCCUCGGGUCGUAAAGCACUUUUCUGAGAGAUGAGCAAGGACAGUAUCUCAGGAAUAAGUCUCGGCUAACUACGUG
Molecule: ribosomal RNA, 460 nt
Filed under: uncultured bacterium
Lineage: Bacteria
Description: bacterial SSU rRNA
Rfam family: Bacterial small subunit ribosomal RNA
Source: RNAcentral